AGUGGGGUGGCUGAGAUAAAUGAGUAGGCGAUAGGCUGUAAAUCUAUUUAGGAGCAUAAACGUUGCUCUUCCACUA
Molecule: transfer RNA, 76 nt
Filed under: Nasutitermes sp. B TB-2017
Lineage: Eukaryota; Metazoa; Arthropoda; Insecta; Blattodea; Termitidae
Description: tRNA-Tyr
Source: RNAcentral